UACGGAGGGGGCUAGCGUUGUUCGGAGUUACUGGGCGUAAAGCGCACGUAGGCGGCUUUGUAAGUUAGAGGUGAAAGCCCAGGGCUUAACCCUGGAAUUGCCUUUAAGACUGCAUCGCUAGAAUCGUGGAGAGGUGAGUGGAAUUCCGAGUGUAGAGGUGAAAUUCGUAGAUAUUCGGAAGAACACCAGUGGCGAAGGCGACUCACUGGACACGUAUUGACGCUGAGGUGCGAAAGCGUGGGGAGCAAACAGG
This 253-nucleotide ribosomal RNA is filed under the name uncultured bacterium. Its description in RNAcentral is "partial 16S ribosomal RNA". It matches the Rfam family "Bacterial small subunit ribosomal RNA", at positions 524 to 776 of the family's 1533-position model. The record is from RNAcentral.